AUUGAACGCUGGCGGGAUGCUUUACACAUGCAAGUCGAACGGCAGCGCGGACUUCGUUCUGGCGGCGAGUGGCGAACGGGUGAGUAAUGUAUCGGAACGUGCCCAGUAGCGGGGGAUAACUACGCGAAAGCGUAGCUAAUACCGCAUACGCCCUACUGGGGAAAGCAGGGGAUCGUAAGACCUUGCACUAUUGGAGCGGCCUAUAUCGGAUUAGCUAGUUGGUUAGGUAACGGCUCACCAAGGCGACGAUCCGUAGCUGGUUUGAGAGGACGACCAGCCACACUGGGACUGAGACACGGCCCAGACUCCUACGGGAGGCAGCAGUGGGGAAUCUUGGACAAUGGGCGCAACCCUGAUCCAGCAAUGCCGCGUGUGCGAUGAAGGCCUUCGGAUUGUAAAGCACUUUUGGCAGGAAAGAAACGUCGCGGGAUAAUACCCCGUGGAACUGACGGUACCUGAAGAAUAAGCACCGGCUAACUACGUG
Molecule: ribosomal RNA, 484 nt
Filed under: uncultured bacterium
Lineage: Bacteria
Description: partial 16S ribosomal RNA
Rfam family: Bacterial small subunit ribosomal RNA
Source: RNAcentral